This is a long non-coding RNA of Bactrocera oleae (olive fruit fly), 1188 nucleotides long. RefSeq lists it as uncharacterized. Lineage: Eukaryota; Metazoa; Arthropoda; Insecta; Diptera; Tephritidae. The record is from RefSeq and is a predicted model, not a curated record.
UUAUAAAAAUAAACAAAAAGAGAGACAAGAAAAGUAAGUAAUUUCGCAAAAUUUAUAAUUUUGAUAUAAAUAUAAUAAUAUCAUUUAUUUUUAGGCUUACAAAAUGUGGUUUAUUUCACUAUUUUCAUCAUGUGUAAAUGUACAGCUCAAUUUAUGCGCUUGUUUAUUUAUAUGCAAGUUCUUACCCCUACAAAAAACUGCUGAUGGGUUUACCAAUACACUCACAUUUGUUAUGUCAGUACUACCCGUCAAUUGAUCGCCACUGUUAUUGUUAAAAUGAGUAGUAAGGGUAGAUUUAUAUUUGUUACUAUACUAUAGCUUUACAUAUGUAAGAAUGAAAUAACUGCAUUUAUUAGUACUGUCACCAAUGACAGUGAAAUGAACAGUAAAAUUACUGUCAAUGUUUACGAUUUUUCCAAAAGCAAAUUUUGUAUACGUCGAAAAAGACAGCACACAUUUCCAUAGGAGUUUCGAGAAGUUGUGAAAUAUCUAUGUAGCUGUUAUUCCGUGCGAUAAACCAAAAGUGUUGGGUGCUCCUGUGCAAUAACUCUUUUUGUGUUGAAAAAUAAAUAAAUAACAAAAUAAUUUUCAAAUAUAUCAUACUUAGAUAUUUUUAAAUUCUAAAGCAUCCAUGAACUGGAGAAACACGUACAGCAGAGCUUUUGAAAGGGGCAAGCAUGGAAUCAACUUUGAUGGUUUUAUGAUCAGCAAUGACUCAGGAAAAGGCAUGAGAGUGAGCAGUAUAGAUGUAUAGUGAAUCAAUACCGAAUAUCUAUGUGUUAAAGGGAGAUGCAAAAUCACACACAUGCAUUUGUUUACAUCAGUUUUUGCACAAGGCCCUUAAGAAAAUGAUAGAAACUUUGCUCUGCGCAUUAACAAAAUUUGUUCAGCUGUGACUGUCAUUUACCGGUCAGAUGACUGUCACUGUGCUCGUAAGGACACUAAAUAUGUUUGUUAUGUUAAAAGUUGAAUGCAUGUAUAAUGCAAGCAUAUUAUGCUUCUUUGUGUUUGUUUUGUAUUGUCUCGUAUUGUAUAUAUAUGUGAUAUGAGAUAUGUGUUCUUGUAAUAGUUAGAAUUACAUAUUUUCGUGUAAAGAAUUCACCAGAUCUUUAUGAUGGCUAUUAUUAUAUUUUACAUAUUUAUAUAUCAUAAAAUAACUGAAUUAUUUAAACAUAACUAUCUUUUUAU